GUGAUCGUAGCUCAAUCGGCAGAGCAUCCGGCCGUGGUCCGGAGGGUGCGGGAUCAUACCCCGCCGAUCACC
RNAcentral lists this transfer RNA (72 nucleotides) under Kitasatospora griseola. It matches the Rfam family "tRNA". From Rfam's summary of the family: Transfer RNA (tRNA) molecules are approximately 80 nucleotides in length. Lineage: Bacteria; Bacillati; Actinomycetota; Actinomycetes; Kitasatosporales; Streptomycetaceae. The record is from Rfam by way of RNAcentral.